CCUGGGAACUGCGUUNUGAACUGGGUGACUAGAGUGUGUCAGAGGGAGGUAGAAUUCCACGUGUAGCAGUGAAAUGCGUAGAGAUGUGGAGGAAUACCGAUGGCGAAGGCAGCCUCCUGGGAUAACACUGACGUUCAUGCCCGAAAGCGUGGGUAGCAAACAGGAUUAGAUACCCUGGUAGUCCACGCCCUAAACGAUGUCGAUUAGCUGUUGGGCAGCAUGACUGCUUAGUAGCGAAGCUAACGCGUGAAAUCGACCGCCUGGGGAGUACGGUCGCAAGAUUAAAACUCAAAGGAAUUGACGGGGACCCGCACAAGCGGUGGAUGAUGUGGAUUAAUUCGAUGCAACGCGAAGAACCUUACCUGGUCUUGACAUGUACGGAAUCCUCCAGAGACGGAGGAGUGCCUUCGGGAGCCGUAACACAGGUGCUGCAUGGCUGUCGUCAGCUCGUGUCGUGAGAUGUUGGGUUAAGUCCCGCAACGAGCGCAACCCUUGUCAUUAGUUGCCAUCAUUAAGUUGGGCACUCUAAUGAGACUGCCGGUGACAAGCCGGAGGAAGGUGGGGAUGACGUCAAGUCCUCAUGGCCCUUAUGGCCAGGGCUUCACACGUCAUACAAUGGUCGGUACAGAGGGUAGCCAAGCCGCGAGGCGGAGCCAAUCUCACAAAACCGAUCGUAGUCCGGAUUGCACUCUGCAACUCGAGUGCAUGAAGUCGGAAUCGCUAGUAAUCGCAGGUCAGCAUACUGCGGUGAAUACGUUCCCGGGUCUUGUACACACCGCC
Molecule: ribosomal RNA, 780 nt
Filed under: uncultured bacterium
Lineage: Bacteria
Description: bacterial SSU rRNA
Rfam family: Bacterial small subunit ribosomal RNA
Source: RNAcentral